GGAGUUAGCCGGUGCUUCUUCUGUGAGUGAUGUCCUUCCUGCCGGCUAUUAACCCGCAGGCCUUCUUCCUCACUGAAAGUGCUUUACAACCCGAAGGCCUUCUUCACACACGCGGCAUGGCUGGAUCAGGGUUGCCCCCAUUGUCCAAUAUUCCCCACUGCUGCCUCCCGUAGGAGUCUGGGCCGUGUCUCAGUCCCAGUGUGGCUGAUCAUCCUCUCAGACCAGCUACGGAUCGUCGCCUUGGUGAGCCGUUACCUCACCAACCAGCUAAUCCGACAUAGGCUCAUCCGAUAGCGCGAGGCCCGAAGGUCCCCCGCUUUCCCCCGUAGGGCGUAUGCGGUAUUAGCCUGGGUUUCCCCCAGGUUAUCCCCCCGACUACCGGGCAGAUUCCUAUGCAUUACUCACCCGUCCGCCGCUCGCCACCAGGGAGCAAGCUCCCCGUGCUGCCGCUCGACUUGCAUGUGUUAGGCCUGCCGCCAGCGUUCAAUCUGAGCCAGGAUCAAACUCUGA
This 510-nucleotide ribosomal RNA is filed under the name uncultured bacterium. Its description in RNAcentral is "partial 16S ribosomal RNA". The record is from RNAcentral.